RNAcentral lists this ribosomal RNA (253 nucleotides) under uncultured bacterium. Its description in RNAcentral is "partial 16S ribosomal RNA". It matches the Rfam family "Bacterial small subunit ribosomal RNA", at positions 524 to 776 of the family's 1533-position model. The record is from RNAcentral.
GACGAACCGUGCGAACGUUGUUCGGAAUCACUGGGCUUAAAGGGCGCGUAGGCGGUCCGCCCAGUCUCGGGUGAAAUCUUUCGGCCCAACCGGAAAAGGGCCCGGGAUACUGGCGGACUCGAGGGGGGUAGGGGCGGACGGAACUUCCGGUGGAGCGGUGAAAUGCGUUGAUAUCGGAAGGAACGCCGGUGGCGAAAGCGGUCCGCUGGACCCCUUCUGACGCUGAGGCGCGAAAGCCAGGGGAGCGAACGGG